This 82-nucleotide transfer RNA is filed under the name Pelolinea submarina. RNAcentral describes it as "anaerobic bacterium MO-CFX1 tRNA". It matches the Rfam family "tRNA". Rfam says of the family: Transfer RNA (tRNA) molecules are approximately 80 nucleotides in length. Their secondary structure includes four short double-helical elements and three loops (D, anti-codon, and T loops). The record is from Rfam by way of RNAcentral. Lineage: Bacteria; Bacillati; Chloroflexota; Anaerolineae; Anaerolineales; Anaerolineaceae.
GGGGAAGUGCUGGAAUUGGCAGACAGGCAUGACUUAGGAUCAUGUGUCGCAAGGCGUGAGGGUUCAAGUCCCUCCUUCCCCA